UAUUAAUAUAUUUUAAUUAAUUUUUUAAUUUAUAUUUAGUACAAAAGAAUUUUUUUUUUAAUUUUCUGUAAAGUAUUUUUUUUUUGUGAAGUUUUAAUUGUUUAUUGUACCUUUUGUAUCAGGGUUAAUUAAUUAUUUUAAUUAUUUUAUUUUCCCGAAAUUGAAAUAUUUAAUAUGAUUUAAUUUUAUUUGUUACAAAAAAUUUUUAUAUAUUUUAUUAAUAAUUAUAAGUUAAUUGAUUUCAAUUUAUAUCUGGUUGCUUUAGAUCAAAUUUAAUUUUAAAUUAUUUAAAUUCUUAAUUUUUAAAUAUAAUUUUAUUUUAUUAGGGAUAAUCUUAAUAUAUUUAUAUAAUAAUUAUUUUUUUAUUUGCCCAAAUUUUUAAAUUUUAUAUUAAGUUUAUAAUUAAUUAUUUUAAGUUUAUGAGAUUUAAUUUUAUUUAUUUUUUUAUAAAGUGAAUUUAAUUAUUUUUUUUUAUUUUUCAUAAUGAUUAAAUUAGUAGAAUAUAUACGUAUAUAAAUUGAAUUCAACAAUUAUUUUUUCCAACUGUUUAUCAAAAACAUUUCCUUUAGUUUAAAUUUAAAGGUAAUUUCUGCCCUAUGAGUAUUUUAAAUGGCUGCAGUAUCCUGACUGUACAAAGGUAGCAUAAUAAUUAGCUUCUUAAUUGGGGGCUGGUAUGAAGGAAUUAAUGAGAUAUCAAUUAUAAUUAUAUAUAAUUUUUUAAUUUAAUUUUUUGGUAAAAAAGCUAAAUUAUUAGUAUGGGACGAAAAGACCCUAGAGAACUUUAAUUAGGUUUUUAAUUAUAAUUUUUAUGUAAAUAAAUUUUAUUAACUUAUUUUUUAUUGGGGUGAUAAAUAAAUUUAAACUUUAUUUUUUAAAUUCUUUAUUUAAGAAUAUUUAUGAAUCAAUAAUUGAUUAAAGCAAAAGUUACCUUAGGGAUAACAGCGUAAUUUGAAUGGAGAGUCCUAAUUUAUAUUCAAGUUUGCGACCUCGAUGUUGAAUUAAGAUAAAUUUUUGGAGCAGUAUCUUUUUAAUUAAGUCUGUUCGACUUUUAAAUUCUUACAUGAUUUGAGUUCAAACCGGUGUGAGCCAGGUUGGUUUCUAUCUUUAUUUAUUAUAUUUAUUUUAGUACGAAAGGACCAAAUAUUUUAUUAUUAUUUAAUAUACAAUUUAAACGAAUUUAAUAUAG
This 1186-nucleotide ribosomal RNA is filed under the name Empoascanara sipra. RNAcentral's name for it is "16S ribosomal RNA". The stretch from base 935 to 1093 matches the Rfam family "Archaeal large subunit ribosomal RNA", at positions 2544 to 2703 of the family's 2987-position model. The record is from RNAcentral. Lineage: Eukaryota; Metazoa; Arthropoda; Insecta; Hemiptera; Cicadellidae.